UACUUCAAGAGCUCAGUAUUUUCUCAGGUGGAGCAGAGUUGAUGCAGCUGACGCAGUCUUGACGGGGAGGUGACGGAGGACGUGACGUCGUCCAAACUCCAACACGGAGCCGUGGACAGAUUCAGCUCUGCAGGGAGCCACAGACGACGUGUGAAACUCGUCCUUAUGUCUGACGGCGACUGUUGUUUAUGUUCUGACGCUGCUGCUCUGACUUACUGCAAACCAACAAAUGAGCCAAAACUCUUCUUUCAGUGUGGCCGUACGAGUGAGAGUGGACAUCAGUGUCUCAAAAACCUGGACUCUCCUUUUACUCCACCGGUGUCCCUCACAUGCAGACAGAGACUUCAGCGUCUUUAGACGUCCAGCACACUUUUCUACACCGGCAACAAUGACACUGAAGGUAAUUGGCUAAACACCACGGAUGAUACCUACUUUUCCUCUGAGGCAGAUCGAGGUGACACGCUGAGUCAUGCUUUGGCUCAUUUUCCCCACGCGAGCUGAGCUGUGCGUGAUAGAAGGAAGGAGGACGCAGGUGAAUCAGGAUGAUUCUAUGUUGUUUUGACGGGAGCAGCUGGUGCAUGUGGUUUGUCCUGGCCCUCAUCGCGUUGCCUAAUGUCCCCUGAUUUAAUGUCUUUCACAGACGAUUUGGAUCAUGAGAUCAAAUGAGAGAGAGUCAUAGUAACCUGACUUCAGCAGCAGCAGUGUCAGGUCGAAUGUGACUCAUCGUGGAACAUAUAGACCACGCUCACUCAGGCCUUGUAACCUCAGGUUGGACUGAUUCCAUUCAAUGUGACACAUACAGGAUGGAGCCAUGUGAGAGCGCAGUGACCUCUGACCUCUGCUCUGUGCCGCGUUCACUCACGCAAAACUACCCGUCCACGCG
This is a long non-coding RNA of Solea senegalensis (Senegalese sole), 883 nucleotides long. RefSeq lists it as uncharacterized. NCBI's taxonomy places the organism in Eukaryota, Metazoa, Chordata, Actinopteri, Pleuronectiformes, Soleidae. The record is from RefSeq and is a predicted model, not a curated record. The transcript has 4 exons.